This 253-nucleotide ribosomal RNA is filed under the name uncultured bacterium. Its description in RNAcentral is "partial 16S ribosomal RNA". It matches the Rfam family "Bacterial small subunit ribosomal RNA", at positions 524 to 776 of the family's 1533-position model. The record is from RNAcentral.
UACGGAGGGUGCAAGCGUUGUUCGGAAUCACUGGGCGUAAAGCGUGCGCAGGCGGCUUUGCAAGACAGAUGUGAAAUCCCCGGGCUUAACCUGGGAACUGCAUUUGUGACUGCAUGGCUAGAGUGCGGCAGAGGGGGAUGGAAUUCCGCGUGUAGCAGUGAAAUGCGUAGAUAUGCGGAGGAACACCGAUGGCGAAGGCAAUCCCCUGGGCCUGCACUGACGCUCAUGCACGAAAGCGUGGGGAGCAAACAGG